GAUUGAACGCUGGCGGCAGGCCUAACACAUGCAAGUCGAGCGGUAGAGAGGUGCUUGCACCUCUUGAGAGCGGCGGACGGGUGAGUAAUGCCUAGGAAUCUGCCUGGUAGUGGGGGAUAACGUCCGGAAACGGACGCUAAUACCGCAUACGUCCUACGGGAGAAAGCAGGGGACCUUCGGGCCUUGCGCUAUCAGAUGAGCCUAGGUCGGAUUAGCUAGUUGGUGGGGUAAAGGCUCACCAAGGCGACGAUCCGUAACUGGUCUGAGAGGAUGAUCAGUCACACUGGAACUGAGACACGGUCCAGACUCCUACGGGAGGCAGCAGUGGGGAAUAUUGGACAAUGGGCGAAAGCCUGAUCCAGCCAUGCCGCGUGUGUGAAGAAGGUCUUCGGAUUGUAAAGCACUUUAAGUUGGGAGGAAGGGUCGUUACCUAAUACG
RNAcentral lists this ribosomal RNA (438 nucleotides) under Pseudomonas sp. Its description in RNAcentral is "bacterial SSU rRNA". It matches the Rfam family "Bacterial small subunit ribosomal RNA", at positions 27 to 466 of the family's 1533-position model. Lineage: Bacteria; Pseudomonadati; Pseudomonadota; Gammaproteobacteria; Pseudomonadales; Pseudomonadaceae. The record is from RNAcentral.